This is a long non-coding RNA of Syngnathus typhle (broad-nosed pipefish), 1154 nucleotides long. RefSeq lists it as uncharacterized. The transcript has 2 exons. NCBI's taxonomy places the organism in Eukaryota, Metazoa, Chordata, Actinopteri, Syngnathiformes, Syngnathidae. The record is from RefSeq and is a predicted model, not a curated record.
UUUGACUACUGGCCAACACUUUGAGAGAAUAGUGCCACACAAAAAAGGACAGCCUAAGGAGGAGCAUAUUUGAAAGAUUUCUUUCGUGGGCCUUACUACAGACCUCAGAGCUAUGAUCCAAAAACCGAGGAGUGAGGGACAGAUGUGAAGAUAAGGAACUGCUGUUGUGUGCUCGCGUGUGUGCGUGCAUGUGUGUGGUGGUGGUGGGGGGUUAAAUUUGUCCACUGCACAAAAUCUGAUUCAAAUUAAGAGAUUAAGGAAGAAAAUAUUUCCUGUAACCAUCAUAAGAAAAUAUGACCACAUAAAAGUAGAAGAGUGAGAUGUGGACAGAUGAGAAGUCCUGCACGCCUCAAUCAUGAUUGGAAACCAGCAGGACUGUCAACGAUGCAGGACUUAAAAUUGAAUUGUAUUAAUCCACGUCUGUGUCAUUUCUUGAAUAUUUGAGUUUGAAUAUAAAUAUUUUGCAAAGUAUCUGUUCUAUUUGGUGCAGUAGUUGAGAGCAAAUAAAUAAAAACGGUUUGAUGUUUGUGUUGCUUUACAUCACCGUGUCGUAACCUUUGGCAUGAUAGCCGUACUAUGCUCAAACUGUACAGUGUGCCCAAGUGAGACAAAUAUGCAUGAGUGAAUACUUCUGCCUGGUAACAAAGUGUGUGUGUGUGCGUGUGUGUGUGUGUGCGUGUGCGUGUGCGUGUGUGUGCGUGCGUGCACAUAUAUGAAUGGAAGCACGUGUGCAUUUUCAUGUCCGGGCAUGUCUGCUCCUACUGGAGACAUCGGACCUUGGUAACAGAGUUCUCAGGAAAAAGAUCAUCACCAUCUAAAUACACACCCAACCACCCACAAAGAUGCUGACAUCCAUCUGGUGUUGAAGUAGACACUUGUCUGAUAACAACAACUAGGAAAAACACAAGCAAAUAUUCCCAUGUUAGAUGCGAUGAACAACAAGCGGUGAAUCAGAUCGUCUUGAACCGCCCACUUUUAUACCUCACACCUAAACGUUGUGAGCCCCCAAGACGCACACAUACACACACUUUAACAGCUGUUCACUGUCAUUAUCCCUUCCAUCUAUGUCACCCCAACCCCCACAAUGUACCCCAUUUCUUCCCCAACUAGUCAUGUAAACAACAGCCCCACCCUCUCCAUUUCAAUCACCUCUG